This 301-nucleotide ribosomal RNA is filed under the name uncultured bacterium. Its description in RNAcentral is "partial 16S ribosomal RNA". It matches the Rfam family "Bacterial small subunit ribosomal RNA", at positions 509 to 807 of the family's 1533-position model. The record is from RNAcentral.
CAGCAGCCGCGGGAAAACGUAGGGGGCAAGCGUUAUCCGGAAUUACUGGGUGUAAAGGGAGCGUAGACGGUUAAACAAGUCUGAAGUGAAAUGCCGGGGCUCAACCCCGGAGCUGCUUUGGGAACUGUAGAACUGGGGUGUCGGAGGGGUAAGCGGAAUUCCCAGUGUAGCGGUGAAAUGCGUAGAUAUUGGGAGGAACACCGGCGGCGAAGGCGGCUUACUGGACGACAACUGACGUUGAGGCUCGAAGGCGUGGGUAGCAAACAGGAUUAGAUACCCCCGUAGUCCCUGUCUCUUAUAC